CCUGCUCAAUGUUAUUAUAUAAAUAGCUGCGAUUUUAUUGUACUAAGGUAGCAUAAUAAUUUGCCUUUUAAUUAAAGGAUUGUAUGAAUGGGUUAAUAAAGAAAAUACUGUCUCUAUUUUUUAAAUAAAAAUUAAUAUUAAAGUGAAAAAGCUUUAUUAAAAUAAAAAGACAAAAAGACCCUAUUGAGCUUUAAUUAUAAAUUAAUUAUAUUUAUAAUUUUUAUUGGGGCAAUAAGUAUUAUAAUAAUCAAUUCUUAUAUUUAAGAAUAUAUUCUUUUAAAUAUCCAAUUAAAUUGAAUAAUAAAUAAGUUACCAUAGGGAUAACAGGCUUAUUAUUCUAAAGAGUUCAAAUCGAUAGAAUAGUUUGGUACCUCGAUGUUGGCUUAUAAUUUCUUCUUAAAGCAAUAAUU
RNAcentral lists this ribosomal RNA (410 nucleotides) under Endomyzostoma deformator. RNAcentral's name for it is "partial 16S ribosomal RNA". It matches the Rfam family "Bacterial large subunit ribosomal RNA", at positions 1858 to 2563 of the family's 2925-position model. The record is from RNAcentral. Lineage: Eukaryota; Metazoa; Annelida; Myzostomida; Endomyzostomatidae.